UAAAAAUAAUAAUACCUUGUCUUCAUAUGCUCUCUCCUUCCAGAGAUGGCUCCAAUUUCUCUGUCAACUUUACUGGAAGAUGAAAAAAAGUAAUGCUGAACAGAACACAUCAUUCUGGAGCCACCGACAUGGAGCAGGUCAAUGGCCAGCUGUCCACCCGAUGAUGACAAUACGGUUUCAGGACAGAAGAGUAACUCGGACUCCAGAGAGAAAUAGCAGUGGGGAGACGGGGAUAGAAGUGAGAACCUGACGAGUGACCAGCGCAGUGUUUUCCCUGAAAAGCAUCCUGUUAUAUGAAGCUUCAACACAGCUCAUGGCGGGUGAGGAGUCUAAGUUCUGAGAGAACCAGAGCUUCUAGCAGAAGGAACAGGAAGGUGGCUGAGAAGCAGAGGGAGAGGAGCUGUGGGUGAGCUGGGCUUGCACAGAGCACACCCCAGAGGCCAGCACAGGCUCUGCACAUGGUGGUGCUGAGGUCACCCCCAGAGCUGCUGAGGUGUAUGCUUCAUAUGCUCCACAGCCUGACACAGUGGGCUCUCACCUC
Molecule: long non-coding RNA, 541 nt
Organism: Pipistrellus kuhlii (Kuhl's pipistrelle)
Lineage: Eukaryota; Metazoa; Chordata; Mammalia; Chiroptera; Vespertilionidae
Exons: 4
Source: RefSeq, a predicted model, not a curated record